Molecule: ribosomal RNA, 229 nt
Filed under: uncultured bacterium
Lineage: Bacteria
Description: partial 16S ribosomal RNA
Rfam family: Bacterial small subunit ribosomal RNA
Source: RNAcentral
UGCGUAGGCGGCCUAGUAAGUCAGAGGUGAAAGCCCACAGCUUAACUGUGGAAUUGCCCUUGAUACUGCUAAGCUUGAAUUAGGUUGAGGUUGGCGGAAUGUGACAUGUAGCGGUGAAAUGCAUAGAUAUGUCAUAGAACACCAAUUGCGAAGGCAGCUGGCUAGACCUUAAUUGACGCUGAGGCACGAAAGCGUGGGGAGCGAACAGGAUUAGAUACCCUGGUAGUCC